GCCAGCCUGGCAUAGUGGUUUGAGUGUUUGACUAGGACUCUGAAGAACAGGGUUCAAAUCCUGCUUGGCC
This is a non-coding RNA of Phrynosoma platyrhinos (Desert horned lizard), 70 nucleotides long. The record is from the annotation of a GenBank genome assembly. Lineage: Eukaryota; Metazoa; Chordata; Lepidosauria; Squamata; Phrynosomatidae.